This is a long non-coding RNA of Clupea harengus (Atlantic herring), 355 nucleotides long. The record is from Ensembl. NCBI's taxonomy places the organism in Eukaryota, Metazoa, Chordata, Actinopteri, Clupeiformes, Clupeidae.
GCGUGUGAGAGGUUACAUUUUCAGUUGUGCGUGUGAGAGGUUACAUUUUCAGUUGUGCGUGUGAGAGGUUACAUUUUCAGUUGUGCGUGUGAGAGGUUACAUUUUCAGUUGUGCGUGUGAGAGGUUACAUUUUCAGUUGUAUGUGUGAGAGGUUACAUUUUCAGUUGUAUGUGUGAGAGGUGUUCACUGUGGUAUAAGAGAGGUUCUCACUCAUGAGUAUGAGAGGUUUUCAGUUGUCAUUGUGUGAGGUUCCAUUCUCACUAGUAUACGUGAGAGGUGUUCAGUAGGGAAUGUGAGUGUAUUUCAGUAGUGUUUGUGAAAGGCAAAAGGUCUUCAAUGGUGUGUAUGAGAGGCA